RNAcentral lists this ribosomal RNA (521 nucleotides) under uncultured bacterium. Its description in RNAcentral is "bacterial SSU rRNA". It matches the Rfam family "Bacterial small subunit ribosomal RNA", at positions 30 to 507 of the family's 1533-position model. The record is from RNAcentral.
CGAACGCUGGCGGCGUGGCUAAGGCAUGCAAGGUCGUACGGGGCUGGAUCGGUAGCAAUAUCGGUUCAGUUCAGUGGCGGACGGGUGAGUAAUACAUAGGUAACGUGCCUUGUGCUCGGGGAUACCGUCGGGCCCGCAAGGGUCCUUUGCGAAAGUGACGUUAAUACCUGAUGACGUCUUUGGGUCGCAUGGCUCGAAGACCAAAGGUGGGGACCGUAAGGCCUACCGGCACGAGAUCGGCCUAUGCCCUAUCAGCUUGUUGGUGAGGUAACGGCUUACCAAGGCUCUGACGGGUAGCCGGCGUGAGAGCGCGACCGGCCACAUCGGGACUGAGACACUGCCCGGACACCUACGGGUGGCUGCAGCAACGAAUAUUCCGCAAUGGGCGCAAGCCUGACGGAGCGACGCCGCGUGGAGGAUGAAGUCCUUCGGGAUGUAAACUCCAAUAGUUUGCCAGGAAGCAACCUGGCCUAAUACGUCGGGAAGUUGACCAGCAGACGAAAGGGGCGGCUAACUCCGUG